Molecule: long non-coding RNA, 278 nt
Organism: Drosophila persimilis
Lineage: Eukaryota; Metazoa; Arthropoda; Insecta; Diptera; Drosophilidae
Exons: 3
Source: RefSeq, a predicted model, not a curated record
UAGGAAUCUCACUGAGCUUCAGUCAUUCGUUGCUUUGAAAUCAAUUUAUCUUUCUGAUUAUACCAAUAGUUAUACCAAAUUGCUUUUCUUCAUGUACCCAUCUAAUCAAAAUAUUCUCCAUAUUUGUUUCAGUUGUUCCAAAAUGGAGCCUUGGAGGUCAUCGUUUCCCGAAGAUUACCCAUAUGUGGUUGCUUGGAAUAUUUCCCAAAAAGAUGGUGAAACACGCACCGCUUGUAUUCCUAUAUAAAUAUAGUUGUAGUUAAUUUGACAAUAAAACA